Molecule: non-coding RNA, 114 nt
Organism: Acanthosepion pharaonis
Lineage: Eukaryota; Metazoa; Mollusca; Cephalopoda; Sepiida; Sepiidae
Source: the annotation of a GenBank genome assembly
UUACGGCCAUAUCACGUUGAAACACUGGUUCUCGUACGAUCAGCGAAGUUAAGCAACGUUGAACCUAGUCAAUACCUAAAUGGGUGACCACUUGAGAAUACCAGGUGUUGCAAU